This is a small nucleolar RNA of Ornithorhynchus anatinus (platypus), 138 nucleotides long. The record is from RefSeq and is a predicted model, not a curated record. NCBI's taxonomy places the organism in Eukaryota, Metazoa, Chordata, Mammalia, Monotremata, Ornithorhynchidae.
CCCCUCUCAGGGUCGCACCUGGAGAGUUUCCAAUACUCUACCAGUCUCGGCUCCUGGAGGGAGAGUCAAGCAGGGGCAGACUCAUUCGAUUCCUAGCUUGGCCAGUGGCUAGUGAGUGGAAGGCAAUCUGCUACAAGU